UCCACUGCUUCAGUUUCCAUGACACUAAGGCAGUUCAGUAACUUAAAGUUGAUGGAAUGGCUAUGAAAAUUCAUAUAUCAUCUUUUCUCUGAGAUUUUAUCAUGUUUGAAAUGAGAUUCUGCUCCAUAAGAAAGAUGAUUCCAUUUGAAACCUUUAACUCAGGUUUCAAUCUCUCAUUCCCUACCGAGAGAUGGGGAGAAUACAUUGAUACUGCAUUUCAAAUUGGCUAGAUCAGAAGGAACAGCAGCUAAAAUCCAUUACAACCCAAUUACAUCCAUCAGCUGAAGCUGUGUGCAUUCAUUCGUGAACAUCAGCAUUUAAUCCAUAAAGAGGAACUAAUGAGAAAUUUGAAAAUGGAAUCCACGCAUCAGUAAGUUUGGAGAGAUUUUUCUGGGAUUAAUGAUCUGCCAGAGAAUCUUCAACAUGCUGGAAAGCUAUUCUCUCUGGGUUUGUUUACUGACCAAGGGGAGAAAAAGAGGUUUCCUUCUGCCUACUCAUCAAAUACCAGAAAGAUUUUACUCGUCUUAGUCCUGGAAAAUGGGAUGCCGUGUGCUUUGGACGUAAGAAUACAGCUCCUGAGAUGCGGUGCCUCGGAGUGAGCUCCUACCAUCAUACUUGCAAGAGACAGGCUGUAGCUCUGAAUCAGCUGACCUGAACUUACACCCUGAUUCCUGCCUUUCUUACAAGUGGAAAAAGAAAUCAAGUGACGGCAGAAGCACAGUUCCCUCCUCCCACCUCUCCAUUUGGAUUAAGAAGACCGGACUUGUAACAGAGCACCCACCCUCCCCAAAUCCUUCUUGUGAAACUCCUGACAUUUCCAACAUCCUUUACUCAUUUGAUGUUCAUGAGUUUCCCUAUUGAUUCUCUGAAUACUUACGUUUGCUUUAUAUACUCUGCCUAUACACUUCGGUAUCAAUCAUCAUUUACAUUGUG
Odocoileus virginianus texanus is the source of this 933-nucleotide long non-coding RNA. RefSeq lists it as uncharacterized. NCBI's taxonomy places the organism in Eukaryota, Metazoa, Chordata, Mammalia, Artiodactyla, Cervidae. The record is from RefSeq and is a predicted model, not a curated record.